Molecule: long non-coding RNA, 479 nt
Organism: Peromyscus eremicus (cactus mouse)
Lineage: Eukaryota; Metazoa; Chordata; Mammalia; Rodentia; Cricetidae
Exons: 2
Source: RefSeq, a predicted model, not a curated record
ACACAUCCAGCUAAUUCUCUGCACACAUCGCAAGAGAUAUAACAGAGGGAAGAGUUGCUGGGAUGUAGAGAUGGACCAUAGUUAAUGCGAAGGCUGAGAGGCUGAGACGUGGAACCAACCAAUUAUUGGUGAUGUGAGCUGGCCUUUCUACACCAGCAAUCGCCUUGUGGAUGGAAGUCAGAGUUUUUGAACAUGAAGUAGAAAAUGACUCCAUAUGUUGCUGGAACAGCAAGAUUAAAAAGAGAAGACAAUAGCUUACAAGAAAGAUGCUUGUCCAUCAUUUGACGGGAAUCAGGACGUUGAAUGGAGUCUCAAUCAGACAAAAUAUAACAGAACGUGAAUAUGUGAAGUAUCAUAUGCAAGUGGACAGGAAGAGAAUGUAAAAAUACUUCAAAGACCAGUGUUUCAAAUUUUAAACAGAAAGGUGCAGCUGGUCUGUAUUUCUCAGAUGGCUUUUCAAAAUGCAUUUGCUGAAACUA